Molecule: ribosomal RNA, 257 nt
Filed under: uncultured bacterium
Lineage: Bacteria
Description: partial 16S ribosomal RNA
Rfam family: Bacterial small subunit ribosomal RNA
Source: RNAcentral
UACAGAGGUGCCGAGCGUUAGGCGGAAUCACUGGGCUUAAAGCGUGUGUAGGCGGAUGCCUAAGUACCUUGUGAAAUCCCACGGCUUAACCGUGGAACUGCUCGGUAUACUGGGUGUCUUGAGCCACUUAGGGGUUACCGGAUCAAAUGGUGGAGCGGUGAAAUGCGUAGAUAUCAUUUGGAACGCCAAUGGUGAAAACAGGUAACUGGGAGUGUGCUGACGCUGAGACACGAAAAGCCCAGGGGAGCGAAACGGGG